GAUGAACGCUGGCGGCGUGCCUAAUACAUGCAAGUCGAGCGAGAUGUUAGCGCAUGAACCUUCGGGGGAUUAUGCUAACGGAAAGCGGCGGACGGGUGAGUAACGCGUAGGCAACCUGCCCCUGACAGAGGGAUAGCCAUUGGAAACGAUGAUUAAAACCUCAUGACACCGUAGAAACACAUGCUUCAUCGGUCAAAGAUUUAUCGGUCAGGGAUGGGCCUGCGUCUGAUUAACUAGUUGGUGAGGUAACGGCUCACCAAGGUGACGAUCAGUAGCCGACCUGAGAGGGUGAUCGGCCACAUUGGAACUGAGACACGGUCCAAACUUCUACGGAAGGCAGCAGUAGGGAAUCUUGCACAAUGGGCGAAAGCCUGAUGCAGCAACGCCGCGUGAAGGAUGAAGGCCUUCGGGUUGUAAACUUCUGUUCUAAGGGAAGAAACAAAA
RNAcentral lists this ribosomal RNA (444 nucleotides) under Mogibacterium vescum. RNAcentral describes it as "bacterial SSU rRNA". It matches the Rfam family "Bacterial small subunit ribosomal RNA", at positions 28 to 455 of the family's 1533-position model. The record is from RNAcentral. Lineage: Bacteria; Bacillati; Bacillota; Clostridia; Peptostreptococcales; Anaerovoracaceae.